AAAGGAGAGAAUCUGCUGCAGCAGACGCUGGCUUUGCUCUCUUUGAGAAGAAGGUAAUAGCAGGAAUGGCCAGUACGUCAUGAUGGGAACUUACCUAAAACUUGAGUCUCAUGGCUUGUCCUCUGUUUCCCAGGGAGCCUUAGCUGAAAGGCAGCAGCUCAUCCCAGAAUUGGUGCGAAAUGGAGAUGAGGAGAAUCCCCUCAAAAGGGGUCUGGUUGCUGCUUACAGUGGUGACAGUGACAAUGAGGAGGAGCUGGUGGAGAGACUUGAGAGUGAGGAAGAAAAGCUAGCUGACUGGAAGAAGAUGGCCUGUCUGCUCUGCCGGCGUCAGUUCCCGAACAAAGAUGCCCUAGUCAGGCACCAGCAACUCUCAGACCUUCACAAGCAAAACAUGGACAUCUACCGACGAUCCAGGCUGAGCGAGCAGGAGCUGGAAGCCUUGGAGCUAAGGGAGAGAGAGGUGAAUGGGAAACUGUGCCACAAGGAAGAGGAUAUUGGGAUAAUCGCCUUUAGCUUUUAUUUGUAGCAUUUAGUUCCAGAUCCCAGGGGCAGGGUAGAAGGAUUUGUCAUACCCUUGUCAUCUGACCAUUGUAGUUCAUGUAGCCUAGACCCAGGCUCUGUGUGCCUCGUGAGCCUCACAUUGUCCCUUCAUCAUAAGGG
Molecule: small RNA, 660 nt
Filed under: Pongo abelii (Sumatran orangutan)
Lineage: Eukaryota; Metazoa; Chordata; Mammalia; Primates; Hominidae
Description: retained intron
Source: RNAcentral